GCGAGUGUAGUCUAGCCUGGUUAGGACUCUGCCCCUCCAAGGCAGAGACCCGGGUUCAAAUCCCGGCGCUCGCA
RNAcentral lists this transfer RNA (74 nucleotides) under Microcaldota archaeon. Its description in RNAcentral is "tRNA-Gly". It matches the Rfam family "tRNA". From Rfam's summary of the family: Transfer RNA (tRNA) molecules are approximately 80 nucleotides in length. Their secondary structure includes four short double-helical elements and three loops (D, anti-codon, and T loops). Lineage: Archaea; Nanobdellati; Microcaldota. The record is from RNAcentral.